This 251-nucleotide ribosomal RNA is filed under the name uncultured bacterium. RNAcentral's name for it is "partial 16S ribosomal RNA". It matches the Rfam family "Bacterial small subunit ribosomal RNA", at positions 524 to 776 of the family's 1533-position model. The record is from RNAcentral.
UACGUAGGGUGCGAGCGUUGUCCGGAAUUAUUGGGCGUAAAGGGCUCGUAGGCGGUUCGUCACGUCGGGAGUGAAACUCGGGGCUUAACCCCGAGCCUGCUUCCGAUACGGGCAGACUAGAGGUAGGCAGGGGAGAGCGGAACUCCUGGUGUAGCGGUGGAAUGCGCAGAUAUCAGGAAGAACACCGGUGGCGAAGGCGGCUCUCUGGGCCUUACCUGACGCUGAGGAGCGAAGCGUGGGGAGCGAACAGG